This 216-nucleotide long non-coding RNA is filed under the name Theobroma cacao (cacao). Its description in RNAcentral is "long non-coding RNA (TCAC_LNC000624)". Lineage: Eukaryota; Viridiplantae; Streptophyta; Magnoliopsida; Malvales; Malvaceae. The record is from RNAcentral.
UUGUCUAAUAAAUAAUUAAUUAAUUUUUAAACGAUUGGAUUGUUUAGUAAUAUUUAUUUAAAUUAACAAAAUUUUCCAUAUAUAUUGUUUUCUAACAAUGAUUAUUAGGCUUAAUGGGUUUUGGAGUUUAGAGUUCGGAUUUAUCCCGACGCUUCGGUGAAAAUCCGUCCCUUACUUCAUACCCGAAAAUAUCCACCGGAAAGAGGCAACUCUUUG